UGGAGAAUUUUGGACAAUGGGCGAAAGCCUGAUCCAGCAAUGCCGCGUGUGUGAAGAAGGCCUUCGGGUUGUAAAGCACUUUUGUCCGGAAAGAAAUCCUUGGCUCUAAUACAGUCGGGGGAUGACGGUACCGGAAGAAUAAGCACCGGCUAACUACGUGCCAGCAGCCGCGGUAAUACGUAGGGUGCAAGCGUUAAUCGGAAUUACUGGGCGUAAAGCGUGCGCAGGCGGUUUGCUAAGGCCGAUGUGAAAUCCCCGGGCUCAACCUGGGAACUGCAUUGGUGACUGGCAGGCUAGAGUAUGGCAGAGGGGGGUAGAAUUCCACGUGUAGCAGUGAAAUGCGUAGAGAUGUGGAGGAAUACCGAUGGCGAAGGCAGCCCCCUGGGCCAAUACUGACGCUCAUGCACGAAAGCGUGGGGAGCAAACAGGAUUAGAUACCCUGGUAGUCCACGCCCUAAAACGAUGUCAACUAGUUGUUGGGGAUUCAUUUCCUUAGUAACGUAGCUAACGCGUGAAGUUGACCGCCUGGGGAGUACGGUCGCAAGAUUAAAACUCAAAGGAAUUGACGGGGUCAUAGCUGUUUCCU
This 586-nucleotide ribosomal RNA is filed under the name uncultured bacterium. RNAcentral's name for it is "partial 16S ribosomal RNA". It matches the Rfam family "Bacterial small subunit ribosomal RNA", at positions 355 to 1375 of the family's 1533-position model. The record is from RNAcentral.